This is a long non-coding RNA of Micropterus dolomieu (smallmouth bass), 484 nucleotides long. RefSeq lists it as uncharacterized. The transcript has 2 exons. Lineage: Eukaryota; Metazoa; Chordata; Actinopteri; Centrarchiformes; Centrarchidae. The record is from RefSeq and is a predicted model, not a curated record.
UGGAGUUGAUGUUUUUUUUUCAUAUUUGUGAAAUUACAGCAACAAUUGGAAAUACAGAGAGAUUACAGAAAAAGACUGAUAAUGAGAGGGGGAGACAGAUAAGGGGAGCAGAAGAUGGUGGAGAGAAAAGGCAAGAAUACAAGAAAGACACAUGAGAAGGGAGAUGAAGCAAAGUGAACACAGAUAGAGAUCGACGGUAUGGGAGAUACAAGCUGUUUGAAGAAGUAGGUUGGUCUGUGUGUGAGGAUAUAGCAAUGAAAGCGCCUUUUUCUCCUGAUGCCAUGCCUAACGCGAUCAGCACUCAUUAAGAGCUCUCCAGAGCCCAGGCACCUCACAGACAGAAACCCUCUCCAAAAGACAACCCCCGAACCCAGUAAACACACACGGCUUCCUGCCUGUAAGCCUCUUCUCCAGUGUAAACAAACUGGCAACCACUUGAAGCACUGGCAAGAAUAUUUAUAUAAAAUGUAAUCCAAAAAAUACA